RNAcentral lists this ribosomal RNA (376 nucleotides) under Grania variochaeta. RNAcentral's name for it is "partial 12S ribosomal RNA". The record is from RNAcentral. Lineage: Eukaryota; Metazoa; Annelida; Clitellata; Enchytraeida; Enchytraeidae.
UAAAGACUUAAAUAUAAACCGGUUAAUAAAAUCUACAGAUUAAAAUCCAAAGAAUUUGGCGGUAUCUUAAAUACUCAGGGGAACCUGUACCUUUAUUUGAUAAUCCACACAAAUCAUUCUUCAUCUCGAAUUUCAGCCUGUGUACUGCUGUCGCCAGUAAACCUCUAAAAGAUAGUUUACAAUAAUAUUUUUAAUAUACACGUCAAGUCAAAGUGCAGCCUAUGAUGCAGAGCGCUAUGGGUUUACAAUUUCUAUACAAUAACAAACUAUUAUAAUAAAAAUAAUACGAAGAUGGACUUGACAGUAAUAUUUAUACAACACUAAUAUAAACAAGAAUCUAAGAUAUGCACACAUCGCCCGUCACUCUCGCCUAAAU